CAAGUCGAGGGAGAACCCGGCAAGGGGGGACACCGGCGAACGGGGUAGGAUCAUCUCGGUGACGUACCCUCCGGACGGGGAUAGCCACGGGAAACUGUGGGUAAUACCCGAUGACCUGGCAGGCGAUUAGGGCUUGUCAGCAAAGGUGAGAUUCCACCGGAGGAGCGGCUGAGACGCUAUUAGCUUGUUGGUGAGGUAAUGGCUUACCAAGGCGACGAUGGCUAGGGGGUGUGAGAGCAUGGCCCCCACCACUGGCACUGAGACACUGGCCAGACACCUACGGGUGGCUGCAGUCGAGAAUCUUCGGCAAUGGGCGCAAGCCUGACCGAGCGACGCCGCGUGCGGGAUGAAGGUCUUCGGAUUGUAAACCGCUGUCGGAGGGGAUGAAGUGUAUGGGAGCAAUCUCCUGUAUUUGACAGAGCCUCGGAGGAAGCACGGGCUAAGUUCGUGCCAGCAGCCGCGGUAAUACGAACUGUGCAAACGUUAUUCGGAAUCACUGGG
Molecule: ribosomal RNA, 501 nt
Filed under: uncultured bacterium
Lineage: Bacteria
Description: bacterial SSU rRNA
Rfam family: Bacterial small subunit ribosomal RNA
Source: RNAcentral